AAAAGACAUAUUAGUUACAAAUUUUUAUUUCUGAAAUAAUGUCGGAUAAUAAUGUAAAUAUUAUCCAGGAAAUAAAUAAAUUAAAUUUGGAGUUAAAAAGGAAAUUGGAAGUAGUCUCAAAAUGGAGAGUCGAAUGUGCUCAAUUGCAACUAGAAUUUCUAAAGUUGUACACUCCAGAAUGUCUUGAAAUUUUCGAAUCGCUUAAACAAAUGACUGACAUGAGUAUCGAUUCGAAUACUAAGUUUAAUAAUCCUUAAUUAUUAAAAAAUACUUUCUUAUUAAUGUACUAUCACGAUUUUCAAUAAACGAUAUGAGACAAUUAUUUUGAAAUAUAUUUAUUACAUUCGAAUAUAGGACUUAUACAUAGAAUGUAUUUCUGAUUUUGAUAACAUAAAGACAGACAUAGAUAUACAUACGUUGAUCUUUUAUCUGACGAAAUAUAAAUUUACACUAGAAUAGAAUCAUGGUGUACCUUUUUAAACUUCAUUAAAUAUCUUUUAAUAUCGAUAUAUUUCGGUAGAUUUAUGUUGUAUGUUGAUAUUCCACAAUGGAAGAAAAUAGAUAAAUAAGAUACUUUACCGCGUUAUUAUGUAGCAUCAUUUGGAAGUAUUCAAGUAAAUUUAAUCUGAACAAAGUAAGAAAAAUGAACUUUUUAUUACGUGAUUGCGAGGAAAUUUCUGAAAAUCAUCUAGUGUAAAAAAAUUAAACAUCAUCGUAUGUUAUGCUCUCUGAUGUUCAACGACUGUUUUAAUGUAUUUUAUUAUACAACUGAUUAUUUCUUUUGCGAGGCGUUCGUCCAAACUUUUUACUUUUUUUAAAGUUAAAAUGGCUUUAUAUUAUUAGCAAGAUAAGAAAUUUUGAAAUUCGUCCAUUCUUGGGAAAUAAUGACAAAAAUUUUCUUUGAUAAUUAUUGUCCCUCAUAGCUUGUCGUUACAUUUAUUACUAGAAAAAAAGCACCUCGCAAAUAGUUUAAAAGUCAGUCGUUCUUUUUCCAGUUUAUUAUAUUAAACGAUAUCCGCAUGUAAUGGAAUCAAUCUAUUGUACACAAUCAUGUACGCAAAACUCGAAGCCACUUCAAUCAUCUUCAUCGACGUGUUCUCGAAUCGACUUUAAAAGUUAUUCGAUCCUUUGAUUCUUUGUCUCUUUCGUCUUAAAUGAAUCCAUCCGCUCAAUAAAAGUAACAUGACUCUUAUCGCAUUCUUGGAUGAUAUAUUGUUUCGAACAACUUAACCUCUAUUCCUUGACCUCAACGUUUU
This 1256-nucleotide unclassified non-coding RNA is filed under the name Bombus terrestris (buff-tailed bumblebee). Its description in RNAcentral is "misc RNA ENSBTSG00005025311.1". The record is from RNAcentral. Lineage: Eukaryota; Metazoa; Arthropoda; Insecta; Hymenoptera; Apidae.